GACGGAGGAUGCAAGUGUUAUCCGGAAUCACUGGGCGUAAAGCGUCUGUAGGUGGUUUAGUAAGUCAACUGUUAAAUCUUGAAGCUCAACUUCAAAAUCGCAGUCGAAACUACUAGACUAGAGUAUAGUAGGGGUAAAGGGAAUUUCCAGUGGAGCGGUGAAAUGCGUAGAUAUUGGAAAGAACACCGAUGGCGAAGGUACUUUACUGGGCUAUUACUGACACUCAGAGACGAAAGCUAGGGUAGCAAAUGGG
This 253-nucleotide ribosomal RNA is filed under the name uncultured bacterium. RNAcentral's name for it is "partial 16S ribosomal RNA". It matches the Rfam family "Bacterial small subunit ribosomal RNA", at positions 524 to 776 of the family's 1533-position model. The record is from RNAcentral.